This 497-nucleotide ribosomal RNA is filed under the name uncultured bacterium. RNAcentral's name for it is "partial 16S ribosomal RNA". It matches the Rfam family "Bacterial small subunit ribosomal RNA", at positions 28 to 507 of the family's 1533-position model. The record is from RNAcentral.
GAUGAACGCUGGCGGCGUGCCUAAUACAUGCAAGUCGGGCGAACAGACGAGGAGCUUGCUCCUCUGACGUUAGCGGCGGACGGGUGAGUAACACGUGGAUAACCUACCUAUAAGACUGGGAUAACUUCGGGAAACCGGAGCUAAUACCGGAUAAUAUAUUGAACCGCAUGGUUCAAUAGUGAAAGACGGUUUUGCUGUCACUUAUAGAUGGAUCCGCGCCGCAUUAGCUAGUUGGUAAGGUAACGGCUUACCAAGGCGACGAUGCGUAGCCGACCUGAGAGGGUGAUCGGCCACCCUGGAACUGAGACACGGUCCAGACUCCUACGGGAGGCAGCAGUAGGGAAUCUUCCGCAAUGGGCGAAAGCCUGACGGAGCAACGCCGCGUGAGCGAUGAAGGUCUUCGGAUCGUAAAACUCUGUUAUUAGGGAAGAACAAAUGUGUAAGUAACUAUGCACGUCUUGACGGUACCUAAUCAGAAAGCCACGGCUAACUACGUG